Molecule: ribosomal RNA, 865 nt
Filed under: uncultured bacterium
Lineage: Bacteria
Description: bacterial SSU rRNA
Rfam family: Bacterial small subunit ribosomal RNA
Source: RNAcentral
AGAGUUUGAUCCUGGCUCAGAUUGAACGCUGGCGGCAGGCUUAACACAUGCAAGUCGAACGGUAACAGGAGAAAGCUUGCUUUCUUGCUGACGAGUGGCGGACGGGUGAGUAAUGCUUGGGAAUCUGGCUUAUGGAGGGGGAUAACUACGGGAAACUGUAGCUAAUACCGCGUAAUAUCUUCGGAUUAAAGGGUGGGACUUUCGGGCCACCUGCCAUAAGAUGAGCCCAAGUGGGAUUAGGUAGUUGGCGGGGUAAAGGCCUACCAAGCCGACGAUCUCUAGCUGGUCUGAGAGGAUGACCAGCCACACUGGAACUGAGACACGGUCCAGACUCCUACGGGAGGCAGCAGUGGGGAAUAUUGCACAAUGGGGGGAACCCUGAUGCAGCCAUGCCGCGUGAAUGAAGAAGGCCUUCGGGUUGUAAAGUUCUUUCGGUGAUGAGGAAGGUGUUUGUUUUAAUAGAACAAGCAAUUGACGUUAGUCACAGAAGAAGCACCGGCUAACUCCGUGCCAGCAGCCGCGGUAAUACGGAGGGUGCGAGCGUUAAUCGGAAUGACUGGGCGUAAAGGGCACGCAGGCGGUGACUUAAGUGAGAUGUGAAAGCCCCGAGCUUAACUUGGGAAUUGCAUUUCAUACUGGGUCGCUAGAGUAUUUUAGGGAGGGGUAGAAUUCCACGUGUAGCGGUGAAAUGCGUAGAGAUGUGGAGGAAUACCGAAGGCGAAGGCAGCCCCUUGGGAAUAUACUGACGCUCAUGUGCGAAAGCGUGGGGAGCAAACAGGAUUAGAUACCCUGGUAGUCCACGCUGUAAACGCUGUCGAUUUGGGGAUUGGGCUUAGAGCUUGGUGCCCGUAGCUAACGUGAUAAA